AGUGGCGAACGGGUGAGUAAUACAUAAGCAACCUGCCCAUCAGACUGGGAUAACAGUUGGAAACGACUGCUAAUACCGGAUAGGUAAAUUGAAGGCAUCUUUGAUUUAUUAAAGUUUAGAGACACUGAUGGAUGGGCUUAUGGCGCAUUAGCUAGUUGGUGAGGUAACGGCCCACCAAGGCGAUGAUGCGUAGCCGACCUGAGAGGGUGACCGGCCACAUUGGGACUGAGACACGGCCCAAACUCCUACGGGAGGCAGCAGUAAGGAAUUUUCGGCAAUGGGCGCAAGCCUGACCGAGCAACGCCGCGUGAGUGAAGAAGGCCCUAUGGGUUGUAAAGCUCUGUUGUAAAGGAAGAACACUAUUGAAGAAUCAGUAGCUGACGGUACUUUACCAGAAAGCCACGGCUAACUACGUGCCAGCAGCCGCGGUAAUACGUAGGUGGCAAGCGUUAUCCAGAAUUAUUGGGCGUAAAGGGUGCGCAGUCGGCUGAUUAAGUUUGUGGUGAAAGUGCGGGGCUUAACUCCGUAUGGCCAUGAAAACUGGUUAGCUAGAGUGCAGAAGAGGGUAGGUGAAAUUCCAUGUGUAGCGGUAAAAUGCGUAGAUAUAUGGAGGAACACCAGUGGCGAAGGCGGCUACCUGGUCUGUAACUGACGAUGAGGCACGAAAGCGUGGGGAGCAAAUAGGAUUAGAUACCCUAGUAGUCCACGCUGUAAACGAUGAAUACUAAGUGUUGGGGAAACUCAGUGCUGCAGUUAACGCAAUAA
RNAcentral lists this ribosomal RNA (765 nucleotides) under uncultured bacterium. RNAcentral's name for it is "bacterial SSU rRNA". It matches the Rfam family "Bacterial small subunit ribosomal RNA", at positions 94 to 863 of the family's 1533-position model. The record is from RNAcentral.